UGAGCACACUUCGGGCGUCUGAACCCUCUUCUCUUCCGCCCCAGCAUCCGCGGCUCUUGCGAGCUCCUAAAGCCGCGACCCCCGACGCCAUAAUCCCUCAACGAUCCCCAGAGCAGAGCCAUCCUCUCUCUCUCCCCGCGAGCCCUCACAAGCGAGAGGAAAGAGACCAGAGAUGGGCGGCGGCAACUGCAACCCCAAGGACUUCGGCGCCGCCGCCUACUGGGACGCCCGCUACUCCUCUCCCUCCACUGGCGGCAAGGGCGGCGGCGGCGGCGGGUUCUUCGACUGGUACCAGUCGUACUCGGCGCUCCGCCCCCUCCUCCGCGCCUGCGUGCCCACUUCCUCCCAGGUCCUCAUGCUCGGCUGCGGCAACUCCCUUCUGUCGGAGGACAUGGUAAAGGAUGGUUACCAGAACAUAGUAAACAUAGACAUCUCAUCCGUUGUAAUCGAGCAGAUGAAGGAGAAGCACACGGAUAUCGCACAGCUUACAUAUAUGCAGUUGGAUGUCAGAGAUAUGAGCUUCUUUGGAGAUGGAUCAUUUGAUUGUAUCAUCGACAAAGGAACUUUGGAUGCUAUGAUGUGUGGUGAUGAUGCCCCUCAUGGCGCUUACAAAAUGCUAGCAGAAGUGGCAAGGCUUAUGAGGCCUGGUGGGAUUUACAUGUUGAUAACAUAUGGUGCUCCUAAGGAACGUCUGACACUUCUGAACCAAGUCCGAUGCCAUUGGGAAGUUGAGCUUUACAUUAUGCACCAAAAUACCUUGUUCGAUGGUUAGUCAGUGCCUCAGUGGCAACCUUGACUUGAAUUAAUGACGGCGGCAAUGGUGACCGAAGAAGCCUGCCUGGUCUGUGCUUCAUGCCCUCGAUCACGCCGCGUCAUUAAACAAAGCAGCCACACCUGAAUACCAGCUGAAAUGGAGCAACGGUGCUGCACACGCCAUGAUGGAGAAAGUUGCGCUGACAGUGGAUGGCCAACUGCCACCUGACUACGUUCUCAAGGAUCCAGAGUCACAUUUCAUUUAUGUUUGUUACAAGUCAGAUAUAGUGACCGAAGAUAAGUCCAUGGUUGCUGGUCAAGAUGAUGCCAUGUCUUCAUUUUAAUGGAGUCCGACCACAAUGACCGAAUUAAAUAUUACCAUUGAUUAUGAAAACGCAUACCCUUUUGUGCCAUUAUCUGGCGCGAGUGAGAGAUGAGUGUGCUUUGUGGAAGUUGGAAGAUUUAAGAAAUAUAGUUAUUGUGUGUUUCUAUCUGCCAUACUUAGUGAGUGAACCUGUGGAGUUCUAUUUAGUUCGCUUGGAAUGAGUAAAUUUCGUUUCUCUGCAAGCUUUAA
This is an RNA transcript of Triticum aestivum (bread wheat), 1327 nucleotides long. It is a transcript of the gene named EEF1A lysine methyltransferase 4, with no coding region annotated. The transcript has 9 exons. The record is from RefSeq and is a predicted model, not a curated record. NCBI's taxonomy places the organism in Eukaryota, Viridiplantae, Streptophyta, Magnoliopsida, Poales, Poaceae.